UGCGCCUUCUUCCAAUGGCAGGAUGCGGGACUCAUAUCCCCUCGAUGCCGGUUCAAGUCCGGCAGGCGCGA
RNAcentral lists this transfer RNA (71 nucleotides) under Bacillota bacterium. Its description in RNAcentral is "tRNA-Met". It matches the Rfam family "tRNA". From Rfam's summary of the family: Transfer RNA (tRNA) molecules are approximately 80 nucleotides in length. Lineage: Bacteria; Bacillati; Bacillota. The record is from RNAcentral.